This 662-nucleotide ribosomal RNA is filed under the name uncultured Alphaproteobacteria bacterium. RNAcentral's name for it is "bacterial SSU rRNA". It matches the Rfam family "Bacterial small subunit ribosomal RNA", at positions 44 to 752 of the family's 1533-position model. The record is from RNAcentral. Lineage: Bacteria; Pseudomonadati; Pseudomonadota; Alphaproteobacteria.
AGGCCUAACACAUGCAAGUCGAACGGAUCCUUCGGGAUUAGUGGCGGACGGGUGAGUAACACGUGGGAACGUGCCCUUUGGUUCGGAACAACUCAGGGAAACUUGAGCUAAUACCGGAUGUGCCCUUCGGGGGAAAGAUUUAUCGCCAUUGGAGCGGCCCGCGUCUGAUUAGCUAGUUGGUGAGGUAAAGGCUCACCAAGGCGACGAUCAGUAGCUGGUCUGAGAGGAUGAUCAGCCACAUUGGGACUGAGACACGGCCCAAACUCCUACGGGAGGCAGCAGUGGGGAAUCUUGCGCAAUGGGCGAAAGCCUGACGCAGCCAUGCCGCGUGAAUGAUGAAGGUCUUAGGAUUGUAAAAUUCUUUCACCGGGGACGAUAAUGACGGUACCCGGAGAAGAAGCCCCGGCUAACUUCGUGCCAGCAGCCGCGGUAAUACGAAGGGGGCUAGCGUUGCUCGGAAUUACUGGGCGUAAAGGGAGCGUAGGCGGACUGUUAAGUUAGAGGUGAAAGCCCAGGGCUCAACCUUGGAAUUGCCUUUGAUACUGGCAGUCUUGAGUACGGAAGAGGUAUGUGGAACUCCGAGUGUAGAGGUGAAAUUCGUAGAUAUUCGGAAGAACACCAGUGGCGAAGGCGACAUACUGGUCCGUUACUGACGCUGAGGC